This 305-nucleotide ribosomal RNA is filed under the name uncultured bacterium. RNAcentral describes it as "bacterial SSU rRNA". It matches the Rfam family "Bacterial small subunit ribosomal RNA", at positions 335 to 635 of the family's 1533-position model. The record is from RNAcentral.
AGCCCCUACGGGACGCAGCAGUGAGGAAUAUUGGUCAAUGGGCGGGAGCCUGAACCAGCCAAGUCGCGUGAGGGAAGACGGUCCUAUGGAUUGUAAACCUCUUUAGGCGGGGAGCAAUGCCGGGCACGCGUGCCCGGAGGGAGAGUACCCGCAGAAUAAGCCACGGCUAACUACGUGCCAGCAGCCGCGGUAAUACGUAGGUGGCAAGCGUUGUCCGGAUUUACUGGGUGUAAAGGGCGUGUAGCCGGGCGGACAAGUCAGAUGUGAAAUCCGGGGGCUCAACCCCCGAACUGCAUUUGAAACUG